GACAGAGAUGCCAAGCGUUGUUCGGAAUCACUGGGCAUAAAGGGCGCGUAGGCGGCUUCGUAAGUCAGGGGUGAAAUCCCCCGGCUCAACCGGGGAAUUGCUUUUGAUACUGCGAGGCUUGAGGUCGGAAGGGGAAAGUGGAAUUCCUGGUGUAGCGGUGAAAUGCGUUGAUAUCAGGAGGAACGCCGGCGGCGAAAGCGACUUUCUGGUCCGAUUCUGACGCUGAGGCGCGAAAGCUAGGGGAGCAAACGGG
This 253-nucleotide ribosomal RNA is filed under the name uncultured bacterium. RNAcentral's name for it is "partial 16S ribosomal RNA". It matches the Rfam family "Bacterial small subunit ribosomal RNA", at positions 524 to 776 of the family's 1533-position model. The record is from RNAcentral.